UACGUAGGGGGCGAGCGUUGUCCGGAUUUACUGGGCGUAAAGGGCGUGCAGGCGGUCUGUUAAGUCUAGGGUGAAAGCUCCCGGCUCAACUGGGAGAGGUCCUUGGAUACUGGCGGACUUGAGGGAGGCAGAGGAGAAUAGAAUUCCCGGUGUAGUGGUGAUAUGCGUAGAUAUCGGGAGGAAUACCAGUGGCGAAGGCGGUUCUCUGGGCCUUACCUGACGCUGAGACGCGAAAGCGUGGGGAGCGAACCGG
RNAcentral lists this ribosomal RNA (253 nucleotides) under uncultured bacterium. Its description in RNAcentral is "partial 16S ribosomal RNA". It matches the Rfam family "Bacterial small subunit ribosomal RNA", at positions 524 to 776 of the family's 1533-position model. The record is from RNAcentral.